This 158-nucleotide ribosomal RNA is filed under the name Globodera tabacum. Its description in RNAcentral is "5.8S ribosomal RNA". It matches the Rfam family "5.8S ribosomal RNA". Rfam says of the family: 5.8S ribosomal RNA (5.8S rRNA) is a component of the large subunit of the eukaryotic ribosome. It is transcribed by RNA polymerase I as part of the 45S precursor that also contains 18S and 28S rRNA. Lineage: Eukaryota; Metazoa; Nematoda; Chromadorea; Rhabditida; Heteroderidae. The record is from RNAcentral.
CUAGUCUUAUCGGUGGGUCACUCGGCUCGUGGAUCGAUGAAGAACGCAGCCAACUGCGAUAAUUAGUGUGAACUGCAGAAACCUUGAACACAGAACUUUCGAAUGCACAUUGCGCCAUUGGAGUGACAUCCAUUGGCACGCCUGGUUCAGGGUCGUAA